GCAGCAGCAGUACCGUUCCGCCCUAGGCUGCCCGGGCCGGGACGGAAGGAGAGGGGGAGGCCGCCGGCACCGCCUCCCCGGCAGCCACGCUCCUGCGGGCGGGCGCGAACAACCGCCAGGAGCGAGGCCGCUGCCUGGUUUGUAGCAGACUUGUGUCCUCUACAGCGCCGCAGUCUGUUCCUGGAGCCCGGGAGGGCCCCGCAGGCCGGACACAAGCAAGAGCUCGGGCCCCCGAAACGAGUGUUAACUCCAGCUCAUGGUCAAGCCAUGACUGCUUCAGCCUGCCCUACCUCUUGCAGUUUUGGCUCCGGACAGGCAGCUGAAACAACUCCACCAAAUGUAAUCAUCUCAUUUGGAUCAAAUUAUGAAGCUUUCAGAAAAAGGGAAAAUACACUGUCCUUCCCCCACCAGCACUACAACAAUGAAUAAAGGUGUAAGUAAUUUGCUGGACAGAACAGAAUAUGGAGCAUAGAUGUAACAACCUGGCAUUGUUUGUUGCUUCUGUGUCAGAGGACAUAGUUUGCCCUGGCUGAUUUUCCCAUGACCUGCAAAGAUGGAGCAAGUCCAGGCAUUUGAAUCGAAUUUUAACUUCAAGUGAUGAAUGCUCAGCUACCUGAUAAAUUCCACUUUUAGAAAAUGCAGCUUUCCUGGAGUGAUAAGCAGGUGUGUGCCUUCUUUAGCAGCGAGCAUGUGUAGCUUUCUUAGUUGAGUGACCUAAGAUCUUUCCUUUGCUUUUGAGCACAUUAUCUUUACAUCUACAAGAAGUUGUUUUGGGGUACAAAACAUUUCAAGUGAAAAAUACGUACAUAAGCAUAUAAAUGUCAGAAAGAUACUGGAGGUUAUGUUGCCAUAUACUCAGAAAUACGAGGGAGAUUGAGUAAAUGUGGAUGAUACCAAGAGACCAUGGAGGCAAUACAUGGUUAUUUAUUCAGUGAUAAUUACAAGAGUAAGCAAAAGACCGUGAAGUAGUCUGUAGAGUUGUUGAUGUCCUCCUAUUAUUUACCAAGUAAAAACUAGAUCUCAGUCUUCUUCCCGUUGAUAGCAAAUACCUUCUCCUAGAGAAAGAGUAACAAUUCCCAUGGGUAAAGAUUUCCUUCCUACUUUCACUGUCUCAGAAGACCUUGAUCUGCGUUGUGGCUGCUGACUGGAUAAAUUCGGUAUCGUCUGAAACGUCACAGAUUAAAUUAUGCAAUACAUUAUGCAAACAUGAACAGAAGUAAUCCAAAGUAAUAUAAGAGAUUAGGAAAAUGAGAGCAUGUGAGAAAAUGAGAAUAGGGAAAAAACGUGGAAAUACAGCUAAGACAGAAUAUGUUAAAUGUUCAUGUCUAAUGGAAGAGACAGGCCAGAGCAGAAUGGUUCCAAAAGAUGAUUGUAUGCUCACUGCAUGUAGUGCAUGGUAAAAAUGAAUGCACUUGCAAUUGCUUCUGGCAGUAAAGCUGGCCACAGUAAAUCCAGGCCUCCCAUAAAGACAGAGGAAAUUAUAUGGCAUGCUUACUAAAGCUGGUGAAACAAUAAAACAUUGGAAGCUCUCAUUGCUGGAAAGAUACUGGCAAUUUGGAAUGAAUUUAUAGGAAACUGGCAAGAAAUGGAUUGCCAGAGAUAGAGAUACUUGUUUAGAAGGAAUCAGAAGAUUUAAAUAUGUCUAACUUGGCAGUAAUGUCCAGCUAUUUUAAUAAUGUGACUACCAAAGGAGGGAAUAAUCUGCAAUUGCUUUCAACAUUCAUGGAUAGAGUUAUCAUGAUAAUAUUAAAUCUUCUGCAGCUUUGAUCCCUGAAAUGGAUCUGUGAGGCCUAUAAAAGCUUCUUCCACUAAAACCACCAUGAAAAAUAUAAGCAGGAAACCAUUAAGUUCUUAAAUAGCAAAUAUUGUUGUUGGAUUGAAAUGAUUUUCUUUUGAUUUUGGACUAUUACUUCUUUUUAUUUGGUUUGUAGAAUGAUAAGCACAUACACCUCUUUCCAACUCUAGGUGCCUUUAAACACUUUUAAAUCACAGAAAACUUCAGUAAAUUGAUACAAGUUCUGUUUGCUGGUCACCACUGUCAUAACUGCUAGCACUAUUUCUUCUGCUGAAUAUUACAUUACUAUAAUUUCUGAACUUUAAUUUUGUCCCUAACACCCAAAUAAAGGCAGGUGCUUUGCAGAAUAUAUCAGUGGUUGAAGCUUGUUCUGCUCAAGAGCGAAGUGCUAAGCUAAGGAGGCUGUGUAAUGUAUAAGCAGAUUUUUCUCCUGAAUUGAAAAACUUGUGCUGUGUACUUCUGCUUACGUCAGCUGUAGCACAGAGAAAGGUAAAAAGGCAAUGCUUCAGGAAAAAAAAACUUUAACUGAAAUAAUUUGGAGCUUCAAAGUUAAAGACAAUACCCUGAAUUCUGCCCAGAGCCCCAGGCAAGUGAUGCAGCUUGACACCAAUUGCUGUAAAUGUAUUUGUCCUUAAUAUUCAGAUUAUCAAUGCUGCUUUAAAUUAUCUCAGUUUAUAAACAGAAAAUUGGUAGUGUCCUACUCAUUGGUUUAAAAUGACCUGACCAGGUCCCUCCAAAAUAAAAGCUUUUAUUUAUUUUUCCAAGCAUUAAUUUCAGAAUUAAGAGCACUUCUGUUGCUUCCCAGGUACCCAGGAAAAGGUAUUGCUCCCACUGAAUUUAUGGAUCCUGGUUCAACACGAUACUUAAGCUGAUGCCUAAUUUUAGGUACUAGCCAGCUGUAAAAAACUCAGCCUGCUUCCUUAAAGUGUACUCCUGUGCUUAUUAACUUCAUCAGAUAAGGCUCUGAAUUGCAAAUCUAAUUCUCCAAUAGGAGCUGCAUUUUUUCAAAGCAAAUGUCUUUGCUGAAUUUUGGUGUUUCUCUCACUCUAUCAAAAUUUAGAAAGCCCUGUUCAGACAGGAUUGGAAUGGGAUUUAUAUGAAAUGUCCUGUGGGAAAUACAGCUAUGAUGUUAAAGGAAAAAACCCUGAACCCAUAAGUAUCAUAUAUAUAUAUAUAUAUAUAUAUAUAUACACAAACUUCAAUAAUUUAUUUCUUCCUAACAUCCAUGUUGCUGUUGCCCAAAUUCUGUUUAGUGUCCUUAUCCUGACAUGAACAUAGACCCAUGGCCCUUCCUUUCUGAAUUCUUUUACUCUUGAGAUUUUCUAAUACUGUUCCAUGUUUUGCCAUACUUUAUUUUUCAUGUCUUUGUUUAGUAAUUUUACACCAUAUUUAAAUUUUAUCUACCUGCCUGCCCCCCCUUUCUUGGUGUCAUAUGCAAAUACGAUUGAUUCUCUCUGCACAAAAGUCUUCAGUUCAGUUAUAUAAUUUGGGAUUGAGAACUGACCCCUGCUGCAAGUCCCAGCUCAACAGCUCUUCUUAGAAGUCAGCAAACUGUUAUUAUAAUUAUUCUGUGUUCACAAAUUCCAGACUUCUAUAGCUACUUUGAAAGAUUUGAAUAUAAACCUCCUUCCUAUCAUUCUUUGUGAGACUAUCACAUGAAAAUGUAGAAGGUAUCUUGCAGAGUAGGUGUCCAUGCUCACAGUGUUUCCCCUGUCUGUAAACUGUCAAUAAUUUGAUGCACGCAAUGUGAAAUUAAGCACUCACACCUGAAGACAGUCUAAAAUGUAAUAACUUUCCAUUGCAUUAAUAUGUACGGGCCUCACAUAUUAUAUAUUUAACUCAGGUUUAACAGGACACUUGAAAAUCUAUAUUUAACAGGGAAACAGGAAUAUAGCAUAUUUAUUUCAGAGAAAAUUUAACUUUCGGGAUUCCUUGAUUACUGAGUACUUGAUUUUAAAAGAUGUAGCUUGCAUCUUUAUUAGUAUAACUUGACUAUUAUUUUAAAAUAAAUAAUAGUAAUAGUUGCUUUGGAAUAUUUUAAAAAGGGUUCUUCAACUAUGCUAUGUACAAGCUUUUCACAUAGGUGUGAGCCAGGUCUUUUUCUAAAUAUUACCGUUUUCCUACCCUUUUCUGUGGAACAGUUGCACUGCUCAAAUUUAAAUUUACCUCCUGCUUCAACAGUUCAGCUUAUAAAUUUCUGUACCCCGUAGCUGGACAGUUAUCAUCUAAUAGAUCACAUCUGUCAUUAUUGGUCUGAUCAGUCCUUCUGUGUCCUAAUAGGCUCCCCCAUUGACUUGAGGAACCAGAUCUGUAUCUGCUUUAGAUGUGAGAUUCAUGGACUGAUAGUUGAAAUUAGGGACCUGUAUUAUGUAGUUGAGUUGAGCCUCUCAAAAUAGCCAUAAGGAGUUCAUAUAUCCAUAUGGCAAAGUAAGAUAGGUAGCUGAAUCCUUUAAGCUUAAACUUAUGAAUCUGUACAAGUAAUGUACAAAUAAUGCCCUUUUUGGAUAUAAAGUAACUACAUAGUUAUUUGAAUGAUCUCAUUUGUAUUAUAGUAAAUGAACAAAGGAUUACACUCAUCUUUACACUGUCAGUAUUUUUCUAAUGCAGAAGAGGCAUUUGUUAAUAGGGAAUAUGGAGUCUUUGACAUUUUGGGUCCCAAUCCUUCAGUGAAGCUAGUCAUGCACCUGCUUAUUUGUGCACAAAUCAUUCUAAUGAAUUCUAAAGGACUAUUCAUGUGCAUAAAGCUAAGCCUGUGUGUAAAAGCCUUUGCAAGACUGGGCCUAGGUUGUAAGUUUGAUAAUGACCUGAGACUGAUUCAGCAGAGAAAAAACAGUCCUUUUAAAAAGUUGAGGAGUGUAACUCCAGCUCAGCUGAACAGGUAUGGGCAGUGCUAAAAGACAAAACUCUAAAAACUGAUCAAGAAAAAAUGGCAAGAGAUAUAAAUCUUUUUUUAAUUUGUAUUUUAUGAUACUGCAUUUUACCUUAAUCUUAUUAAUUCUUGGCUGCAUUUUAUUUUCAUUAUGGCUAUGAAUUCCAUUUGAAUAACUUUAUGUCAGGAGCUUAGAAAUUUCCUGUUUUAAUUUCAUGUAUAUAUAUAUAUAUAUAUAUAUAUAGCCUGUGUGGAAGAGUAGAUCCACUUAGAGAAUGGUAGUUGUGCGAAAUCAUAACUAGACUCUUCAGGAAGUUUUUGCUUAAGGAGAAGUCACGACAUCAACACUGUUUUAGAAAGAAGUGUAGAGAAGAUCUUUGUGCACUUAUUUGUUUGUACCAUGCAAUAUUCUGCCUUCUGCUGCAUUUUGUGCUGCACUGCAGCAGUUUAUGUUCUCAGAGACAGCACAACACCUGCAGGAGCCUCCGAACAACAUCAGGGGAAUUCCAGUCAUUGUGACACAUCUCCUGAAACCAUUUUCUAGAUAUUCCUUCCAUGAGUUGCUUCCAUCAGGAACUUCCAUAGAAUUUGGUAAAGACUUUUCACGUGUUUAAUAUUAAACACACAGGCAGUGCUACUGAAAGUACCAUGAAAAAUAAAUGAAAUUACUUAAAUAUAAACUGAGUUCCUGCUUGGGCCUAUGGUGUUUGGCAUUUGAUAUGGCAGCCUAGAAGAUGGACAUUUGACAGGCCACAAUAGACUGCUCCUUUCCCAGAUUACAAAAACGUAGUAACUUCCCCUUGUGAUGUCUCCAAAGGAUUCUUUGGAAGAAGGCAUCUAACAGUUCCUGUGAAAGACAUCAAUGGAAUCCUCUCUUUCAAGAAAGUCACAAUUAGAGGCUGGAAAAAGAUUAGAGAUACAGGUACAGCAGAAUGUCAAGGGAAUCUUGCUAUUAUUUUGUCUCCUGGGACAUGUUACACAGAAUUAGUAGCCUAGUUAUGGAUUUGGACUGUAGAACCACUGACAGGCUUGUGACUGAAUGCAAGAUAAGCAGAGCUCGUGGUUCCACAAUGAAAAUCUGUAUUCUGUUGCUAAAGAGCAGAGCUGAUAAGGACAACUGAUUGUAGUGGGCUGACCCUGGCUGGACACCAGGUACCCACUAAAGCCACUCUAUCACUCCCUUCUGUAGCUGGACAGAGGAGAGAAAAUAUAAUGUGGGAUUUGUGAGUUGAGAUGAGGACUGGGAGACAUCACUCACCAAUUACUGUCAUAGGCAAAACAGACUCGAAGUGGGGAUAUUAAUUAACUUUAUUACUAACUGAAUCAGAGGAGUAUAAUGAGAAGUAAAAGAAAUCUUAAAAACACUUUCCCCCACCCCUGCCUCCUUCCCAAGUUCUACCUCCUCCCCCCAGCAGCACAGGGAGACAGAGAAUGGGAGUUACACUCAGUCCAUCACAGAUUGUUUCGGCUGCUGCUCAGAGUCCUUCCCCUGCUUCCCGUGGGGUUCCUCCCAGAGAGACAGUCCUUCAUGAACUUCUCCAGCGUGAGUCCAUCCCACAGGCAACAAACUGCUCCACAAAAAUCUCCACAAACUGCUGCAACGUGGGUCACUUUUCCACACGGUGCAGUCCCUUCAGGUACAGCCUGCUCCAGUGUGGCCCCCUGACAAGGCCACAAAUCCUAGCAGGAAAACCUGCUCCGGUGUGGGCUCCUCUCUCCAUGGGUCAGCUGGUCACUGCCAGGACCUUGCUCCAGCAUGGGCUUCCUGUGGGGUCACAGCCUCCUUUGGGCAUCCAUCUGCUCUGGUGUGAGUCUUCUCAAUGGGUUGCAGGUGGAUCCUUGCACGCCCAUGGACCUCCAUGGACUGGAGGAGAACAGCUCCUCACCAUGGUCUGCACCAUGGGCUUCAGGGGAACCUCAGCUCUGCCACCUGGAGCACCUCCUGCCCCUCCUUUUCCACCAGCCUUAGUGUCUGCAGGGUUGUCCACAUGUUCUCACUCUGCUCUUCUCUGUCUGCCAUUUUCAUCUGCCCAAUAACUUUUUUUUCCCUUCUUAAAUAUGUUAUCACAGAGGUGUUACUAUCAGUCCUGAUUAGCUCAGCCUUCGCCAGCAGCAUGUCUGUCCUGGAGCUGGCUGGAAUUGGCUCUGCAGGACAUGGGGGAAGCUUCCAGCAGCUUCUCACAAAAUCCACCCCUGUAGCCCCUCUGCUACCAAAACCUGGCUGCAAAACCCCAAUAUCUUACAGAAGAUAUUCUCUUUCUGUACAGGCUGUGUGUAUCUUUAAUCCAAAUAAGAUGAUGUUGUUUGCUUUAAUUAAUUGAAAAGUUUUGUCCUGACCUUCUUUAUACAGAACCUUGAGUGAACAAUUUUGGAUGUCUAAGAUCUAAUGAGACAGAGGUCUAUCUUGUGUUCUUCUUGUGCUUUAUUUUCAUGAUUUGGAGAAUGUUUGAAUUCUCAGAUUAAGGCUAUAUCAAGAGUAAUUGCUUAAAAUGUUCCUACAUACUGACAUUCUUUUAAUCCCAUCAGUCUUCCCCAUGUUUAUCCUGAUAAGGAUUUCUCUUAUCUGACACUCAAACAAAAAGUAAGAGAUUGAAAGGUAAUGUGGUGUUAACACACUUAUAAUCUAUUACCUAUAGCAUUUGGGCCUCAAACAAAUGUCUGCAUAGGUCUUGGAAGAAAUAAAAAGCAAAAUGGUGCUGUGCAAACUAAUUCUUCGUUUUGUCGUAAUAUUUCCAGAAUUGCUGUCAUGAAGCUUUCAACAUGAAGCUUGACAUUCAAAUUGAAAUCUCAAACUGCUACUGAUAUUGGAGAGGAAACAGAAGAGGAUUAGAAGAAGAA
Long non-coding RNA from Pseudopipra pipra, 7502 nucleotides. RefSeq lists it as uncharacterized. Lineage: Eukaryota; Metazoa; Chordata; Aves; Passeriformes; Pipridae. The record is from RefSeq and is a predicted model, not a curated record. The transcript is spliced from 5 exons.